AUAGCACAUUCAAGCAUCCCAGUCACACAGGAAGGUUAAAUAUGGUUGACAGUCUCGGAUAUAUAUGAGCUGCUCUGUGAAUGUGAACAGGUUGUUGAAGUUUGAGAACCAAGAACAGAUUUAACUGUAACUGGGGGAUUCAGAAUGUUUCAGGAGAAAAGUCCAGAGGCGGUGUGUAAUGCCUCUCUGAUUCGGAAUGUGUGGGAAAUCAGAACGAAAACAUACACACAGAAAUUGAACACAGAAGAAGAGAGGGUGAAAAAGAGUGCACUGCAACAGAUUAAUCAAGAAUGGCAGAAUCGUAUGGAAUCCAAGAGGAAGGCACCGCCAAGGCUGGAGAGAAAAGCCAGGCACAAUGAGAACACAACACUUCAGAAUUACUUAAAUAAACCAGCUCUCUCUCAUAUGAAUAACACUGAUAUUUUUAACUCCAAGUUUCAGAAUCAAAGGGGGUCACUGUCAAAAAGGGGAAAGUUUAUCAAUGAUAUCUAUCAGGGCCAACCGUCUCUGCAAAUGUGGGGGAAGUCCUGGAAGUUCUCACGACCCAAAUUGCACAUGGAAGAGGAGGGACAAGCAGAAAGUGUAUCAGAUUGGGGUGAGUCAUGGAAGUUCUUGAAUCUCCAACCCAACCUGGAAGAUCAACCUUGGUCAGAGCAGGACUUAUAUGAUGAUGACCUGGAUUUCCAGCUUCAUAAUGACACAACAUUACUAUCAAAGGAGGCCAAGUCAAAUGCAUUCUUGAGUUCCCAGAAUCUUGAGGAGAAUUUGUGUUGUUUUGAAUGGGAACAGUCUUGGAAGUUUCCAAAGCAUCCUAGCCAUGAAAAAGAAUCAUCAUCAGAGGAAGAACAAUAUAAUGGGUCCACAGAUAUUGAAAGCGAUGAGGACAUGUGUCUGUCAUAUGGAAGCAUGCCCUUGGAUUAUGAGAAUGAAAUGUCAGAAUGGAGCGAGUCCUGGAAGGUGCCAAAGCCUGAAGAGACGGAUUCCCAGUCUGUAGAAUCAGAACCUAUGGAAGAUGAGGAUCACGAAGACAAUCUGGAUAAAACAUCUGUUUCUAAGUGGUUUGAGUCCUGGAUGAUUCUGCAUCAUGAGCUGCCUAAAAAGAAAUCUCAGUCCUCUGACUGGAGUGAGUCUUGGAAGCUCUUGCAUGUUCCAUCACAACAAGAAAAAAACAGUCACACAGAUCAAGGCUUGUCUGACGAGUCAUCACAUAUUCAUGAUUUUGAGAGGAUGCUUCCACCAAAAGGGAACAAGAUAAACAUAUUACUGACUUCCCAAGAUUUCUCAGUUUCUGAAUGGAGUGGAUCCUGGGAGAUCACAAAGCCCCAAGUGCAGGCUCUCCCCCAGAAUGAUCAGAGACAUGAAUCAGAAAAAGAUGAGUCAAUGAAAGGAAUGUCAGAGAGCAUUUUAGAUUUUCAAUCUGAAAAGGAGAGUUGGAAACUCAAGAGCAAGUAUAGACAGUUUCUGAGUCCCCAGGUCUUCUGUGAUGAGUUGUCUACAUCUGAAUGGGGUGAGUCUUGGAAGUAUUUUAAGCAUCAGUCUUUCCAGGAUAUUCACACAGAUGAAUUCUUUAUUAACCAGAUGGACAAGAAGAGAUCUCUUUCUGACUGGAGCGAGUCCUGGAAAUUCUCCCAGAAGAGAUUGUGUAAUGAUAAACCAUCUUUUACAGAGUGGGAAAACUCAUGGUUUUUCACAUCUGAGCCGUAUAUUUGCAAGGCACUGUUAAUACAAGAAAACAGGCCAAAUGACCACUUGGAUUUACUCCCUGGCAAUAGUACAUUUCUGUCUAAGAGUGUCAAGUUCAGAAACUUAUUAAAUUCUAUGCUCCACAAGGACAGGCCAUCUCUUUCAGAGUGGAGUGACUCUUGGAAAAUCACAAAUCUCGAGAUUUCCCAGCAAACCGAGUUCGAGGAAUCCUUGGAAAUCCAGAACUACAAUGAGAUGAUGUUUAACUUUAAAGCUGAAAAGUGCAGAAUAUUCCGUGCAUCCCACACACAUGAAGAGAAACUAUCUUUGGAAAAAUGGGGUGAGUCCUGGAAAUUUGCAAAACGUCAGCACCCCAGGGAUGGAGCGAUUUUAUCAAAAAAAUGUAAGGUCAUUAACUUCCAGAAUUCAGAAUGGGCUUCUUCCUGGAAGUUCUUAAACCUUACACUCAACCAGAAGAAAGAUUGUUGGGAGAAAAGCUGGACCAAUGUGGCAGAGAUCUGCCGUGAAAAUCCAUCAAAAUGGGGAAAGCCCUGGAAGAUAUCAAAUCCUCAGCCACCCAUGGAGAAUGGAUCCUGGUUAAAAGCUGAGGAUUUCCAUCACCAAAAUCAAUUAAUAAUCCUGGCAAAAGGCAGGUGCAGAAAAUUCUUAUUUUCUCAACUAGAGACAAAUAGGCAAUCUCUGAGAUUGUGGUCCCAUUCCUGGAAGUUAUUGAAACGACAUGCAGAUAACAAGACAAAAGCUGGGAAAAGUAGUUCUCAGGAUUCCUCUGACUUGUAUACGCAUAUAAUGUCAAGGAGGAGCAAGGCAAGGAAAGUUUUGAUGACUCCGCUGGAAAAAGAGAAGUUGGCUCCGAGAAAGUGGGGUGAUGCCUGGAGGUUAGCAAAGACACAACCCCGCCAAAGGAGAGGAUCUUAUUUAAAGACAAGCAAGGAAACUAUGAAGGAGGACAAAGCACAUCUUGCUGACUGGAGCAAGUCUUGGAAGUUUUUAUACACUCAGCAAACUGAAGAAAAAUCAUUUAUGCCAGAAUGGGAAGAGUCCUGGAAAUACUUACUUACCCAUCAACAAGAGAGAGAAGGAGAGCGAUCAAAAUAAAGGCUAAUUCAAAUAGUCUGUGACUGGCUGAAAAAACCACUGGCAGAGAGAAGAGGGAAAGAUAUCUGAAAUAAAAUGGCCAACCAAAUGGUAUAAUGUUUUUCAGACUGAAAAAUUGCAAGUUGAAGAGAAAAGAUUUAUGAGCCAAACUGACAUUUAUAUUUAUUAACUUAUAUGAUAUAUAUAUGACUAUAAAGCAUUGAAAACCAUGUAUUUGGAUUUAUUAGAACCAAAAACCCAAGCAAUUUUAUGAAAGGCAGUAAGAUCAUAGUUGUAUGUUUGUGUCGUCAAUUAUAUUUACUGUCUAUAAAGCUCAAUAUUAUUAUACAUACUAUAUAAUACACAGGUUUAUAUAAAUGUCCUCAAGUGUCCAUGCAUUAUUUAUUGUUCAGCUGAUACUGGGCCGUGGAACUACAAUGUAAAAAAAUAAAAAUAUGCAAAACUGA
Molecule: long non-coding RNA, 3245 nt
Organism: Anguilla rostrata (American eel)
Lineage: Eukaryota; Metazoa; Chordata; Actinopteri; Anguilliformes; Anguillidae
Exons: 3
Source: RefSeq, a predicted model, not a curated record